CCUACGGGUUGCAGCAGUGGGGAAUAUUGCACAAUGGGCGCAAGCCUGAUGCAGCCAUGCCGCGUGUAUGAAGAAGGCCUUAGGGUUGUAAAGUACUUUCAGUUGGGAGGAAGGCGUUGAUGCUGAUAUCAUCAACGAUUGACGUUACCAACAGAAGAAGCACCGGCUAACUCCGUGCCAGCAGCCGCGGUAAUACGGAGGGCGCAAGCGUUAAUCGGAAUUACUGGGCGUAAAGCGCACGCAGGCGGUUGGUUAAGUUAGAUGUGAAAUCCCCGGGCUUAACCUGGGAAUGGCAUCUAAGACUGGUCAGCUAGAGUCUUGUAGAGGGGGGGUAGAAUUCCAUGUGUAGCGGUGAAAUGCGUAGAGAUGUGGAGGAAUACCGGUGGCGAAGGCGGCCCCCUGGACAAAGACUGACGCUCAGGUGCGCAAGCGUGGGGAGCAAACAGGAUUAGAUACCCCAGUAGUC
Molecule: ribosomal RNA, 466 nt
Filed under: uncultured bacterium
Lineage: Bacteria
Description: bacterial SSU rRNA
Rfam family: Bacterial small subunit ribosomal RNA
Source: RNAcentral